UGAAAAACAGGUUAAUCUUCUGUGUUCUUGGGAAAUAGCUGUUAAAGAAGUUGCUGGGAUUUUCAUGUACCAUUUUAUGAUGCUGGUGAGAGUUUUUACAUGAUUUAUACACCAUGAAAGGAAAAAAACACCCAUGAAAAACCGGUUAAUCUCUCCUGUCGCCUUGGGUAAUAGCUGUUAAAGAAGUUGCUGGGAUUUUCAUGGACUGUUUUAUGAUGCUGGUGAGAGUUUUAAACACUUCUGCACCACGAAAGGGAAAAACCACCCAUGAAAAACAGGUUAAUCUUCUGUGUUCUUGGGAAAUAGCUCUUAAAGAAGUUGCUGGGAUUUUCAUGGACUGUUUUAUGAUGCUGGUGGUAGUUUUUACAUGUCUUACACACCAUGAAAGGAAAAAACACCCAUGAAAAACCGGUUAAUCUUCUUGUGGACUUGGAAAAUAGUCUAAUGGGAACCAGAAACGUUUAAUCAAGAAGUUGCUGGGAUUUUCAUGGACUGUCUUAUGAUGCUGGUGAUCAUUUUAAAUACUUCUCUGGACCACGAAAGGCAAAAAACCACCCAUCAAAACCCGGUUAAUCUUCUUGUGGACUUGGAAAAUAGUCUAAUGGGAACCAGAUUGGGAUUUUCAUGGACUUUUAUGAUGCUGGUGGUAGUUUUUACAUGUCUUACACACCAUGAAAGGAAAAAAACGCCCAUGAAAAUCUGGUUAAUCUCUCCUGUCGCCUUGGGAAAUAGCUGUUAAAGAAGUUGCUGGGAUUUUCAUGGAUUUUUAUGAUGCUGGUGAUGGUUUUUACAUGUCUUACACACCAUGAAAGGGAAAAACCACCCAUCAAAACCCAGUUAAUCUUCUUGUGGCCUUGGGAUAUGGGCGUAAUGGGAGCCCGAGACGUAUAAGAAUAUUGAGCACAGCAAGCCGCCUCACGUGCCCAGGUAUGAGGUCAGGUCAUUAGGAUGCUGCCCGCACACCUGUCUGGCUUUAUCUGUGUCCCUGGUUGUUAUUCCCCUCAUCUGUACUGUGUUUAUAUCUGUCUGUGUCUGUCUUUCUCUCUCUUCCUGCUUGCUUUUUGUUCCUUUUUCUCUCUCUCUCUCUCUCUCUCUCUCUCUCUCUCUCUCUCUCUCUCUCUCUCUCUCUCUCUCUCUCUCUCUCUCUCUCUCUCUCUCUCUCUCUCUCUCUCUCUCUCUCUCUCUUCUUGCUUGUUUUUUCUUUCUUUCCUUUUGUUCCUUUCUUCAUGUAUUUCUUUUAUUUAUUUAUUUUUAUUUUUCUAGUUUUUUUGUAUUUCUGCUUAUUUUUUUUCCUUCUUCCUUCCUUCCUUUCGUAAUCCAAAGUCGUUCUCUCUCUCUCUCUCUCUCUCUCUCUCUCUCUCUCUCUCUCUCUCUCUCUUUUUUUGUGUAUUUCUGCUUAUUCUUUUUCCUUCUUCCUUCCUUCCUUUCGUAAUCUAAAGUCGUUUCUCUCUCUCUCUCUCUCUCUCUCUCUCUCUCUCUCUCUCUCUCUCUCUCUCUCUCUCUCUCUCUCUUAUAAGCCCCAAAAAAGUAUAUUAUUUUCUUUUGAAGUGACUAAAUAUUGCUGAUAAUUGCAGAUAUAAUUAGUUUUUUUUAUUUCAUUCACUAUAUUUCUAAACUAAUUACUCUAUCAUCAUUAUUACCAUCAUUAUUAGUUGUAUGUUAAUGUAUACUGACCCGACAUACUGUAUUAUUCAGCCUACCUAUUUUAUAUAUAUCACCUAUUUCAGCAUCUAUUACGGCACUCACUUAACCCUAUUUUUUCAUUGCUACUUUGCCCAUUAACCCGGUAGCAGCGGGGAUCAUGUUUCUUAAUGGUCCCUCUAAGCGAGAAAAAUGAGAAAAAAUCACCCCUCACACAAACCAUUUCAUAAUAUAUAUCGAAGCAUUUGUGAUCAGUUUAUGUAUCAUCUAUUUUUGGGGGGUUUAAAUCGUGUCACAAAUUUGGCCCGUCGCUGCUACACGGUAAAGCCACAAAUUUGCCCCGUCGCUGCUACACGGCAAAGCCACAAAUUUGCCCUGUCGCUGCUACACGGUAAAGCCACAAAUUUGCCCCGUCGCUGCUACACGGUAAAGCCACAAAUUUGGCCCGUCGCUGCUACACGGUAAAGCCACAAAUUUGGCCCGUCGCUGCUACAUGGUAAAGCCACAAAUUUGGACCGUCGCUGCUACAUGGUAAAGCCACAAAUUUGGACCGUCGCUGCUACAUGGUAAAGCCACAAAUUUGGACCGUCGCUGCUACACGGUAAAGGCACAAAUUUGGACUGUCGCUGCUACCGGGUUAACAUUCUACUAUUACUAUUUCCUAUUUCCCCUAAAAAAAUAAAAAUUGUAACCCAUGCCUACAAGAAUCCUUUUUUUUCUUUUUUUUGUUGAUAGAUUCGUCAUCUGUUGUGUAUCAUUAUUUCCUUGUGCUAUAUUUUAAUAACAAUAAUUAAUGACAUAUAAAAAUAGAUAUAGAUUAAAUAAAUAGAUAAUAUAUAUAUGUAAAAUUAAUAAAGAUAACAUAUACUUGAUUUUUCCACGAGCAGUUUCUCUUCCCCUCCCCCCCGCUUUUUUUCUACAGCAGAGUCAGUUCAAGGGCAUAAAAGGAAAGGAAACAAAUGUGAAAAAAAAAGCCCGCUACUCAUUGCUCCUAAUCACUUAAAUCACACAGCAUUAGUCAGCAUCCCUAUAACACCAGUAAGCACCACACAGCAUCACUCGGCAUCCCUAUAACACAUUUUGGUCCGUUCCCCGUACUGCAAAAUGAAAAGGCGAGGUAGAAUUGGGGGCACACGCUACAGCUUAUUGCACUCCUCAUCUUGUUCAGUUCGCUUGAAAUUAUUAACCCCUUGACUGUGGAUUUUCCUACAUGAAGAAAGUUGGAAAGUUUUGUUUAGUCGGCGCAACAUCUGUGGUCAUAUGCCGGAGAGAGACAGAAGGAGAAGGAAUUAUAGCAGAAGGGAACAGAUACCAGGAGACGGGACACAACCCCCAAUUAAUACCUGGGUGGACAGGGGCGUAGGGUAUCGGAAAAGCCACCCAAAUUUUUCCACUCCACCCGGGAAUUGAACCAGGGCUCUCUCGGUUGUGAGCUGAGUGUGCUAACCACUGCACCAUGAAGCCCCACCCUACAUGAAGACAUCACCAAGUUACAGGAGUGGAACAAAAAGUGGCUGCUACAAUUACACAAAGCAAUUUCUCUUUCCCUUGACACAAAUUGGUCCGUUCCCCGUACUGAAAAGUUAAAAGGUAAGGUAAAGUCCGAGGCAUACGCUAUAGCUGCGCAUGGCCUCAGUGCCCAUCUCUGUCACAUUGUCCCUUGAGCCUAUGGUGGGACGCAGGGCCAGUGUGACAUUCAGGGUACCACAGUUUACCUUCCCCAGGUUUCCCCAGGUACCCAUUUAUCGACCCGACCGGGAUUUGAACCCAGGCCCGCCGACUCAUAAGCAGGCACGCUAACCACUACACCACAGAGGGUAAACUAAAGGAAAAAUAGAGAUGAUUGCAAUAUUAAACUAAACCAAAAGAAAAAUGUGACAAAAUAUUCUAAUCAUGACAAUAAUUUAAUCUAAAGCAUGUAAAGAAUUAACCCAUCUCCUGCGAUUGGCAUGGAUUUUGCCUUCACUGGUAGCCUGGUAACAUACACUCCCAGGUCCUUCUCUGCCUCUGUGGUGGAUAGUGGAGUGUUUCCCAUGUGGUAUUGGUGUGCUGGAUAUCCCUUCACUGGUAGCCUGGUAACAUACACUCCCAGGUCCUUCUCUGCCUCUGUGGUGGAUAGUGGAGUGUUUCCCAUGUGGUAUUGGUGUGCUGGAUAUCCCUUCACUGGUAGCCUGGUAACAUACACUCCCAGGUCCUUCUCUCCCUCUGUGGUGGAUAGUGGAGUGUUUCCCAUGUGGUAUUGGUGUGCUGGAUAUCCCUUCACUGGUAGCCUGGUAACAUACACUCCCAGGUCCUUCUCUGCCUCUGUGGUGGAUAGUGGAGUGUUUCCCAUGUGGUAUUGGUGUGCUGGAUAUCCCUUCACUGGUAGCCUGGUAACAUACACUCCCAGGUCUUUCUCUGCCUCUGUGGUGGAUAGUGGAGUGUUUUCCAUGUGGUAUUGAUGUGCUGGAUAUCCCUUCACUGGUAGCCUGGUAACAUACAC
Eriocheir sinensis (Chinese mitten crab) is the source of this 4123-nucleotide long non-coding RNA. RefSeq lists it as uncharacterized. The transcript is spliced from 3 exons. The record is from RefSeq and is a predicted model, not a curated record. Lineage: Eukaryota; Metazoa; Arthropoda; Malacostraca; Decapoda; Varunidae.